This 199-nucleotide ribosomal RNA is filed under the name uncultured soil bacterium. RNAcentral describes it as "partial 16S ribosomal RNA". It matches the Rfam family "Bacterial small subunit ribosomal RNA", at positions 26 to 227 of the family's 1533-position model. The record is from RNAcentral.
AGGACGAACGCUGGCGGCGUGCUUAACACAUGCAAGUCGAGCGGUAAGGCCUUUCGGGGUACACGAGCGGCGAACGGGUGAGUAACACGUGGGUGAUCUGCCCUGCACUCUGGGAUAAGCCUGGGAAACUGGGUCUAAUACCGGAUAUGACCUGCUCUCGCAGUGGGGGGUGGGUGGAAAGAUUUAUCGGUGCAGGAGU